UACGUAGGGUGCAAGCGUUGUCCGGAAUUAUUGGGCGUAAAGAGCUCGUAGGCGGUCUGUCGCGUCUGCUGUGAAAACUCAGGGCUUAACCCUGAGCUUGCAGUGGGUACGGGCAGACUAGAGUGCGGUAGGGGAGACUGGAAUUCCUGGUGUAGCGGUGAAAUGCGCAGAUAUCAGGAGGAACACCGGUGGCGAAGGCGGGUCUCUGGGCAGUAAACUG
RNAcentral lists this ribosomal RNA (220 nucleotides) under uncultured bacterium. RNAcentral describes it as "partial 16S ribosomal RNA". It matches the Rfam family "Bacterial small subunit ribosomal RNA", at positions 524 to 742 of the family's 1533-position model. The record is from RNAcentral.